UACGUAGGGUGCAAGCGUUAAUCGGAAUUACUGGGCGUAAAGCGUGCGCAGGCGGUUAUGUAAGACAGGUGUGAAAUCCCCGGGCUUAACCUGGGAACUGCAUUUGUGACUGCAUCGCUGGAGUGCGGCAGAGGGGGAUGGAAUUCCGCGUGUAGCAGUGAAAUGCGUAGAUAUGCGGAGGAACACCGAUGGCGAAGGCAAUCCCCUGGGCCUGCACUGACGCUCCAUGCACGAAAGCGUGGGGAGCAAACAGG
Molecule: ribosomal RNA, 254 nt
Filed under: uncultured bacterium
Lineage: Bacteria
Description: partial 16S ribosomal RNA
Rfam family: Bacterial small subunit ribosomal RNA
Source: RNAcentral